Long non-coding RNA from Podarcis raffonei (Aeolian wall lizard), 1291 nucleotides. RefSeq lists it as uncharacterized. The record is from RefSeq and is a predicted model, not a curated record. Lineage: Eukaryota; Metazoa; Chordata; Lepidosauria; Squamata; Lacertidae. The transcript is spliced from 3 exons.
AAUCGUCUCUCUAUCAUGUGAACUAAUUUACCAAUUUUCAGAGGGGUUUCUGGUGGGGGGUAAAUGGGAUAACGGAUGAAAAGCUGCCUUUCUGACCAUCAAAUAUUCUCUAAGUGAAUGUGCCUGAGGGUCAGGGAUAUUGUGGUACUUUAGCUAAUGGGGCCUCCCGCUGCCACGCGAUUUCUGUUCUUAUCCUGAAGCAAAGUUCUUAACCUGAGGUACUAUUUCUGGGUUAGCGGACUCUGUAACCUGAAGUGUUUGUAACCCGAGGUACCACUGUACAUUGAAUAGUUCACCAGAAGGAAUGAUGUAAAAAUUAUACAUCAUUGACUUGUAGCUGCAGCCACAUCUGAGGGUGUGUCCUGGGGGAGGGGACAGAAACAUGCAUGCUGCAAAUGUCUUGAUCAUUUCCAUCUCGUCUGUGAGAGAAGUAGAAGGACUUGAGAGUCAAGAGUGGCAACAUCGGAUUGGGAAGCCAACUCCUGCUCUGCCCUGAUGAAUCUCUUCUGGAUUCUCUGUGAACUUCCUGCUCCUGUUUUAUUCUGGAAUUCAACUUUAUUUCCUGAAGGGGAAAUUAUCGCAGUACUAUGUGUGGCUCCAUCAGAGGUUAUGCUGACCAGAUUUUUUUAAUGUAAAGAUGGGGCUCCUGUUUCAUUCAAGAAAGCAACAUCUCAAAAUGCUCAAUACAUAUUCUAUGCAUCACUGAAGAAUGCUGGCCAAUAUUCCUGUGGUUACCAGCAGAAGGAUGCAAAGAACCAAGUGAAGACAUCUGCCCUCAGUGUUGCUCAGAAUCUGAUUGUCCAGUCAGGUCAGACAAUAUCUCCCUAUGUUUGGAUUCUCUGCUCCUCAUUGGUGCUUCUUCUCCUGGUCUCAGCACCAAUCAUCACCUAUUUCAUCGAGAAGUGUAAUUGCUCCUUGGCUGGACCUAGAAACUUGGGAAUCCCAUUGGAAGAAAAAAAUUAAUGCCUCCAGACUGUGCUUUGUCUGUCCUCCUUCUCUCAUCCAUUUAUUCUCUUACAAUAAUGUUUCCAGUAUUUUACUAAGCCCAGGUCAAGUACUGGUUUUGACUUUUAGGGUUCCAAUAAAUGGCUUGGGUUCAUGAUGUCUGGUUAGCUUGCCAGAAGUUUUUACAGCAGGUACUGAAAGCAAUACAGCUAAGAUGUCUGCAUAGUAUUAAUGAACAUCUUCAAUGGAUAGCCUUUUAUCUACUGGGAUUUAUAUUAUUUUCUGCUUAUUUUAACAUGCCUAUGUUUUAAAAUAUUAUUUGUAUUUCUGUCAAAUAAAUUGUUGA